GUGCUGUGCAAAAGGAGGGAAGGUUAGCACUCUCCUUCCUAAGGCUAGGAGAUGCCUUCCUGUCCUACAAAAUACACACAUGGCUAAGGCAUUGCCAUGUUCUUCACGAUGUCUCCACCAUCCUUCCUU
Molecule: non-coding RNA, 129 nt
Organism: Pygoscelis adeliae (Adelie penguin)
Lineage: Eukaryota; Metazoa; Chordata; Aves; Sphenisciformes; Spheniscidae
Source: Rfam